Molecule: ribosomal RNA, 615 nt
Filed under: uncultured bacterium
Lineage: Bacteria
Description: bacterial SSU rRNA
Rfam family: Bacterial small subunit ribosomal RNA
Source: RNAcentral
GCUACCAUGCAGUCGAGCGGUACAUUUCAAAGCUUGCUUUUGAAGAUGACGAGCGGCGGACGGGUGAGUAAUGCCUGGGAAUUUGCCCAUUUGUGGGGGAUAACAGUUGGAAACGACUGCUAAUACCGCAUACGCCCUACGGGGGAAAGCAGGGGACCUUCGGGCCUUGCGCUGAUGGAUAAGCCCAGGUGGGAUUAGCUAGUAGGUGAGGUAAAGGCUCACCUAGGCGACGAUCCCUAGCUGGUCUGAGAGGAUGAUCAGCCACACUGGGACUGAGACACGGCCCAGACUCCUACGGGAGGCAGCAGUGGGGAAUAUUGCACAAUGGGGGAAACCCUGAUGCAGCCAUGCCGCGUGUGUGAAGAAGGCCUUCGGGUUGUAAAGCACUUUCAGCGAGGAGGAAAGGGUGUAAGUUAAUACCUUACAUCUGUGACGUUACUCGCGAAGAAGCACCGGCUAACUCCGUGCCAGCAGCCGCGUAAAACGGAGGGUGCGAGCGUUAAUCGGAAUUCUGGGGCGUAAAGGCGUGCGCGGCGGUUUGUUAAGCAGAAGUGAAAGCCCGGGCUCAACCUGGGACCGCAUUUCGAAUGGCAAACUAGAUCUUGGAGAAGGGUA